RNAcentral lists this ribosomal RNA (497 nucleotides) under uncultured bacterium. Its description in RNAcentral is "partial 16S ribosomal RNA". It matches the Rfam family "Bacterial small subunit ribosomal RNA", at positions 28 to 507 of the family's 1533-position model. The record is from RNAcentral.
GAUGAACGCUGGCGGCGUGCCUAAUACAUGCAAGUCGAGCGAACGGACGAGAAGCUUGCUUUUCUGAUGUUAGCGGCGGACGGGUGAGUAACACGUGGAUAACCUACCUAUAAGACUGGGAUAACUUCGGGAAACCGGAGCUAAUACCGGAUAAUAUUUUGAACCGCAUGGUUCAAAAGUGAAAGACGGUCUUGCUGUCACUUAUAGAUGGAUUCGCGCUGCAUUAGCUAGUUGGUAAGGUAACGGCUUACCAAGGCAACGAUGCAUAGCCGACCUGAGAGGGUGAUCGGCCACACUGGAACUGAGACACGGUCCAGACUCCUACGGGAGGCAGCAGUAGGGAAUCUUCCGCAAUGGGCGAAAGCCUGACGGAGCAACGCCGCGUGAGUGAUGAAGGUCUUCGGAUCGUAAAACUCUGUUAUUAGGGAAGAACAUAUGUGUAAGUAACUGUGCACAUCUUGACGGUACCUAAUCAGAAAGCCACGGCUAACUACGUG